Molecule: ribosomal RNA, 3020 nt
Filed under: Campylobacter jejuni
Lineage: Bacteria; Pseudomonadati; Campylobacterota; Epsilonproteobacteria; Campylobacterales; Campylobacteraceae
Description: partial 23S ribosomal RNA
Rfam family: Bacterial large subunit ribosomal RNA
Source: RNAcentral
AAAAAAGGUAAGCUACUAAGAGCGAAUGGUGGAUGCCUUGACUGGUAAAGGCGAUGAAGGACGUACUAGACUGCGAUAAGCUACGGGGAGCUGUCAAGAAGCUUUGAUCCGUAGAUUUCCGAAUGGGGCAACCCAAUGUAUAGAGAUAUACAUUACCUAUAUAGGAGCGAACGAGGGGAAUUGAAACAUCUUAGUACCCUCAGGAAAAGAAAUCAAUAGAGAUUGCGUCAGUAGCGGCGAGCGAAAGCGCAAGAGGGCAAACCCAGUGCUUGCACUGGGGGUUGUAGGACUGCAAUGUGCAAGAGGUAAGUUUAGCAGAACAUUCUGGAAAGUAUAACCAUAGAGGGUGAUAGUCCCGUAUGCGAAAAACAAACCUUAGCUAGCAGUAUCCUGAGUAGGGCGGGACACGAGGAAUCCUGUCUGAAUCUGGGUCGACCACGAUCCAACCCUAAAUACUAAUACCAGAUCGAUAGUGCACAAGUACCGUGAGGGAAAGGUGAAAAGAACUGAGGUGAUCAGAGUGAAAUAGAACCUGAAACCAUUUGCUUACAAUCAUUCAGAGCCCUAUGUAGCAAUACAGGGUGAUGGACUGCCUUUUGCAUAAUGAGCCUGCGAGUUGUGGUGUCUGGCAAGGUUAAGCAAACGCGAAGCCGUAGCGAAAGCGAGUCUGAAUAGGGCGCUUAGUCAGAUGCUGCAGACCCGAAACGAAGUGAUCUAUCCAUGAGCAAGUUGAAGCUAGUGUAAGAACUAGUGGAGGACUGAACCCAUAGGCGUUGAAAAGCCCCGGGAUGACUUGUGGAUAGGGGUGAAAGGCCAAUCAAACUUCGUGAUAGCUGGUUCUCUCCGAAAUAUAUUUAGGUAUAGCGUUGUGUCGUAAUAUAAGGGGGUAGAGCACUGAAUGGGCUAGGGCAUACACCAAUGUACCAAACCCUAUCAAACUCCGAAUACCUUAUAUGUAAUCACAGCAGUCAGGCGGCGAGUGAUAAAAUCCGUCGUCAAGAGGGAAACAACCCAGACUACCAGCUAAGGUCCCUAAAUCUUACUUAAGUGGAAAACGAUGUGAAGUUACUUAAACAACCAGGAGGUUGGCUUAGAAGCAGCCAUCCUUUAAAGAAAGCGUAAUAGCUCACUGGUCUAGUGAUUUUGCGCGGAAAAUAUAACGGGGCUAAAGUAAGUACCGAAGCUGUAGACUUGCACACAACUUAGAUUAUUUAAGUUUAGAAUAUGAGAAACUAAGUUAUAUGUUUAGUUAUAUUUUUACUGAUUUUUAUAGAGUAAAGAUAGAAAUAAAACUUAGUAAAAUCAGUAAAAAUAUUCUUAGACUAAAGUUAAGUAGUUUAAGUUGUGUGCAAGUGGUAGGAGAGCGUUCUAUUUGCGUCGAAGGUAUACCGGUAAGGAGUGCUGGAGCGAAUAGAAGUGAGCAUGCAGGCAUGAGUAGCGAUAAUUAAUGUGAGAAUCAUUAACGCCGUAAACCCAAGGUUUCCUACGCGAUGCUCGUCAUCGUAGGGUUAGUCGGGUCCUAAGUCGAGUCCGAAAGGGGUAGACGAUGGCAAAUUGGUUAAUAUUCCAAUACCAACAUUAGUGUGCGAUGGAAGGACGCUUAGGGCUAAGGGGGCUAGCGGAUGGAAGUGCUAGUCUAAGGUCGUAGGAGGUUAUACAGGCAAAUCCGUAUAACAAUACUCCGAGAACUGAAAGGCUUUUUGAAGUCUUCGGAUGGAUAGAAGAACCCCUGAUGCCGUCGAGCCAAGAAAAGUUUCUAAGUUUAGCUAAUGUUGCCCGUACCGUAAACCGACACAGGUGGGUGGGAUGAGUAUUCUAAGGCGCGUGGAAGAACUCUCUUUAAGGAACUCUGCAAAAUAGCACCGUAUCUUCGGUAUAAGGUGUGGUUAGCUUUGUAUUAGGAUUUACUCCGAAAGCAAGGAAACUUACAACAAAGAGUCCCUCCCGACUGUUUACCAAAAACACAGCACUCUGCUAACUCGUAAGAGGAUGUAUAGGGUGUGACGCCUGCCCGGUGCUCGAAGGUUAAUUGAUGGGGUUAGCAUUAGCGAAGCUCUUGAUCGAAGCCCGAGUAAACGGCGGCCGUAACUAUAACGGUCCUAAGGUAGCGAAAUUCCUUGUCGGUUAAAUACCGACCUGCAUGAAUGGCGUAACGAGAUGGGAGCUGUCUCAAAGAGGGAUCCAGUGAAAUUGUAGUGGAGGUGAAAAUUCCUCCUACCCGCGGCAAGACGGAAAGACCCCGUGGACCUUUACUACAGCUUGACACUGCUACUUGGAUAAGAAUGUGCAGGAUAGGUGGGAGGCUUUGAGUAUAUGACGCCAGUUGUAUAUGAGCCAUUGUUGAGAUACCACUCUUUCUUAUUUGGGUAGCUAACCAGCUUGAGUUAUCCUCAAGUGGGACAAUGUCUGGUGGGUAGUUUGACUGGGGCGGUCGCCUCCCAAAUAAUAACGGAGGCUUACAAAGGUUGGCUCAGAACGGUUGGAAAUCGUUCGUAGAGUAUAAAGGUAUAAGCCAGCUUAACUGCAAGACAUACAAGUCAAGCAGAGACGAAAGUCGGUCUUAGUGAUCCGGUGGUUCUGUGUGGAAGGGCCAUCGCUCAAAGGAUAAAAGGUACCCCGGGGAUAACAGGCUGAUCUCCCCCAAGAGCUCACAUCGACGGGGAGGUUUGGCACCUCGAUGUCGGCUCAUCGCAUCCUGGGGCUGGAGCAGGUCCCAAGGGUAUGGCUGUUCGCCAUUUAAAGCGGUACGCGAGCUGGGUUCAGAACGUCGUGAGACAGUUCGGUCCCUAUCUGCCGUGGGCGUAAGAAGAUUGAAGAGAUUUGACCCUAGUACGAGAGGACCGGGUUGAACAAACCACUGGUGUAGCUGUUGUUCUGCCAAGAGCAUCGCAGCGUAGCUAAGUUUGGAAAGGAUAAACGCUGAAAGCAUCUAAGCGUGAAGCCAACUCUAAGAUGAAUCUUCUCUAAGCUCUCUAGAAGACUACUAGUUUGAUAGGCUGGGUGUGUAAUGGAUGAAAGUC